This 598-nucleotide ribosomal RNA is filed under the name uncultured bacterium. Its description in RNAcentral is "bacterial SSU rRNA". It matches the Rfam family "Bacterial small subunit ribosomal RNA", at positions 102 to 687 of the family's 1533-position model. The record is from RNAcentral.
ACGGGUGAGUAACACGUAGGCAACCUGCCUGUAAGAUCGGGAUAACUACCGGAAACGGUAGCUAAGACCGGAUAAUCAAUCCUUUCGCAUGGAGGGAUUGUGAAACAUGGGGCAACCUAUGGCUUACGGAUGGGCCUGCGGCGCAUUAGCUGGUUGGUGGGGUAACGGCCUACCAAGGCGACGAUGCGUAGCCGACCUGAGAGGGUGAACGGCCACACUGGGACUGAGACACGGCCCAGACUCCUACGGGAGGCAGCAGUAGGGAAUCUUCCGCAAUGGACGCAAGUCUGACGGAGCAACGCCGCGUGAGUGAGGAAGGCCUUCGGGUCGUAAAGCUCUGUUGCCCUAGACGAACGCUUGGGAGAGUCACUGCUCUCAAGGUGACGGUAUAGGAGAAGAAAGCCCCGGCUAACUACGUGCCAGCAGCCGCGGUAAUACGUAGGGGGCAAGCGUUGUCCGGAAUUAUUGGGCGUAAAGCGCGCGCAGGCGGUCGUUUAAGUCUUCUGUUUAAUCCCCGGGCUCAACCCGGGUUCGCAGGGGAAACUGGGCGACUGGAGUGUAGGAGAGGAAAGUGGAAUUCCACGUGUAGCGGUGAAAU